This 293-nucleotide ribosomal RNA is filed under the name uncultured bacterium. RNAcentral's name for it is "partial 16S ribosomal RNA". The record is from RNAcentral.
GGACUACCAGGGUUUCUAAUCCUGUUCGCUCCCCACGCUUUCGCUCAUCAGCGUCAGUACCGGCCCAGACCACCGCCUUCGCCACCGGUGUUCCUCCUGAUAUCUGCGCAUUUCACCGCUACACCAGGAAUUCCGUGGUCCCCUACCGGACUCUAGCCAUGGCAGUAUCGAGCGCGAGCUCCAGGUUAAGCCUGGAGGUUUAACACCCGACUUGCCAAGCCGCCUACGAGCUCUUUACGCCCAAUAAUUCCGGACAACGCUCGCCCCCUACGUAUUACCGCGGCUGCUGGCAC